RNAcentral lists this ribosomal RNA (404 nucleotides) under uncultured bacterium. RNAcentral's name for it is "bacterial SSU rRNA". It matches the Rfam family "Bacterial small subunit ribosomal RNA", at positions 355 to 776 of the family's 1533-position model. The record is from RNAcentral.
UGAGGAAUAUUGGGCAAUGGGCGCAAGCCUGACCCAGCAACGCCGCGUGAAGGAAGACGGUUUUCGGAUUGUAAACUUCUUUUGAGAGGGACGAUAAUGACGGUACCUCUUGAAUAAGCCACGGCUAACUACGUACCAGCAGCCGCGGUAAUACGUAGGUGGCAAGCGUUGUCCGGAUUUACUGGGUGUAAAGGGCGAGUAGGCGGAUCUGCAAGUCAGAUGUGAAAUCCCGGGGCUUAACCCCGGAACUGCAUUUGAAACUGUAGGUCUUGAGUGAUGGAGAGGCAGGCGGAAUUCCCGGUGUAGCGGUGGAAUGCGUAGAUAUCGGGAGGAACACCAGUGGCGAAGGCGGCCUGCUGGACAUUAACUGACGCUGAGGAGCGAAAGCGUGGGGAGCAAACAGG